UAAAAUAAUUAAGGGCACACAAAGGAUGCCUAGGUAGUAAGAGCCGAUGAAGGACGUGGUAAGCUGCGAUAAGCCUAGAUAAGUUGCAAUCGAACGUAAGAGUCUAGGAUUUCCGAAUGGAGCAAUCUAUUAAGAUGGAGUCUUAAUACGAAAGAGGGAACCGCGUGAACUGAAACAUCUAAGUAACGCGAGGAAAAGAAAGUAAAAACGAUACCCAAAGUAGCGGCGAGCGAAAUGGGUCAAGCCUAAACCUUAAAUAUGUCAAGGAUACAGCCGUUGUAUUUAAGGGGUUGAGGGACAGAGUAGUGAAGAACUGUAAGAUAUUCAAUAUAGUGUAUUGAUGAAUUGGAAUUGUCUGGAAAGGCGAACCGUAGAAGGUGAAAGUCCUGUACAAGUAAAUCCUUACACAUAUAACUCUGCUCCCAAGUAACAUGGAACACGAGGAAUUCUGUGUGAAUCUGUGAGGACCAUAUCUCAUAAGGCUAAAUACUCUUACUAACCGAUAGCGCAUAGUACCGUGAGGGAAAGGUGAAAAGAACCCCUGGAGGGGAGUGAAAUAGAACCUGAAAUUGUGUGCUUACAAGCGGUCAGAGCCAGUAAUGGUGAUGGCGUGCCUUUUGGAGAAUGAUCCUGCGAGUUACGUUAAACGGCGAGGUUAAGUAUAACGGAGCCGAAGGGAAACCAAGUCUUAAUAGGGCGAUUUAGUCGUUUGGCGUAGACGCGAAACCUGGUGAUCUAAACCUGUCCAGGAUGAAGCUGUGGUAAGACACAGUGGAGGUCCUAACCCACCGCCGUUGAAAAGUUGGGGGAUGAGGUAGGUUUAGGGGUGAAAAGCCAAUCGAACCAGGAGAUAGCUCGUUCUCUCCGAAAUGCAUCUAGGUGCAGCCUUGAGUGUUCAAUUAUGGGGGUAGAGCACUGAAUGAUCUAGGGGGCGUAUUGCUUACUGAAAUCAAUCAAACUCCGAAUACCAUAAUUUAGAGCUCAGGAGUGAGACUAUGGGAGUUAACUUCCAUUGUCGAAAGGGAAACAACCCAGACCACCAGCUAAGGUCCCUAAUUAUAACUAAGUGGGAAAGGAGGUGGAGAUUCACAAACAACUAGGAGGUUGGCUUAGAAGCAGCCAUACCUUUAAAGAGUGCGUAAUAGCUCACUAGUCGAGAGUCUCUGCGCCGACAAUGUAACGGGGCUAAGUUAUAAACCGAAGCUGUGGAAUCCGUAAGGAUUGGUAGGAGAGCGUUCUGUAGGCCGUUGAAGGAGAAGGGUAACCGACUCUGGAGGUAUCAGAAGUGAGAAUGCAGGAAUAAGUAGCGAGAAAGGGGGCGAGAAUCCCCCUCGCCGGAAGACCAAGGUUUUCAGGGUAAAGCUUGUCUUCCCUGAGUAAGCCGGGACCUAAGCCCAGGCUAUAAUGCGUAGGCGAAUGGAAAACAGAUUAAUAUUUCUGUGCCAGUCAUAUAUUGUGAUGGAGGGACGCAGAAGGGUAUGCGCGCGGACGAACGGAAGUGUCCGUAGAAGUAUGUAGGAUGACUUGAUAGGAAAAUCCAUUGAGUUAUAUCUGAGGUAUGAUAUACAGUCGUAAGAUGAAUGUGCAAAUCCCACGCUGCCAAGAAAAGCUUCUAACGUUAAUAUUUGACUGCCCGUACUGCAAACCGACACAGGUGGUCAGGAUGAGAAAUCUAAGGCGGACAGGCUAACUCUCGUUAAGGAACUCUGCAAAAUAACCUCGUAACUUCGGGAGAAGAGGAGCCCUUGAGGGUCAGUAUCCACGCGAUACAAAGCACUCGAGGGUCGCAGUGAAGAGGCUCAAGCAACUGUUUAACAAAAACACAGGUCUAUGCUAAGCUGGAAGGCGAUGUAUAUGGGCUGACACCUGCCCAGUGCUGGAAGGUUAAGAGGAGGAGUGAGAGCUCCGAAUUGAAGCCCCAGUGAACGGCGGCCGUAACUAUAACGGUCCUAAGGUAGCGAAAUUCCUUGUC
This 1972-nucleotide ribosomal RNA is filed under the name human metagenome. RNAcentral describes it as "bacterial LSU rRNA". It matches the Rfam family "Bacterial large subunit ribosomal RNA", at positions 1 to 1973 of the family's 2925-position model. The record is from RNAcentral.